Molecule: non-coding RNA, 565 nt
Organism: Lactuca sativa (garden lettuce)
Lineage: Eukaryota; Viridiplantae; Streptophyta; Magnoliopsida; Asterales; Asteraceae
Source: RefSeq, a predicted model, not a curated record
UGUUUUGCUAUGAACUGAUUUGUAAGAUUCAUUGACCUGAAGACUAAGGGCCCUCAUUGUUGGAAGUAUUGGAGAGUUUUUAUCAGCUGCUUUGCUGCCUCCAGAGCCAUUAGCUGUCCAAAAUGUUGUGGAUUUUUCAAAGAUGAUUGGAGCAUUAGAUGUAAAUGAAAAUCUUACACAUCUUGGUUAGUUUAUAUUAAUAUAUUUAUAAAAGUUUAUUUCCUAAGAUUAUCUUUUCUCAUUUUUUCAAAAUAUACGUAAAUAUCUGGUAAUGCUUCCAUUGGAUCCGAAAUUAGGGAAAAUGCUAAUAAUGGGUGCUUUUUUUCGUUGCUUUGAUCAUAUUCUUACAAUUGUUGCUGGACUUAGUGUCAGGGAUCAUUUUCUUUUGCCUCAAGAGAACAAAGACCAAGCUAGUACAACAAAAUCAAUAUUUUCUGCAAAGGAUUACAAUGAUCAUAUGGCACUUGUGUGUGAAUAUGAAGGAUGGAAAGAAGCUGAAAGAGAAGGAUAUGCUUAUAAAUAUUGCUGGAGGAAUUUCCUUUAUGCUCAAACACUUCAAGCUAUA